Molecule: long non-coding RNA, 326 nt
Organism: Lytechinus variegatus (green sea urchin)
Lineage: Eukaryota; Metazoa; Echinodermata; Echinoidea; Temnopleuroida; Toxopneustidae
Exons: 2
Source: RefSeq, a predicted model, not a curated record
GAGAGUGAACUCGAGUUUGAAGCUUGGCAGUGUCGUAUAGGCUCUGCCUUUUUUUUGGUGGAUGUCAGGCUGCCGGGAUGGAAUUCAGCCACAAUUGCCAAUGGAAGUGGACAUACUUGUACAGUCGUGAGCUUGGAGACUGAAGCUUUGCCCUACAGCUUAGAAUAUUUUUUAAUCAAGUUUUAGGCCACUCAGUCUUAUUCCCAUUCGAAAUAUAAUCAGGGCCGGAUCCAAAAUUUCCCUACAGGGCCGGGGGGCAUUUUGUCUAGGAAUUUUUGACAAAAGGUCUUUACUGCCAAAUCACAGUAAUUUUUUCUCAGGAAAAA